UCGGAGCAAGCUGCAGCCUGGACACAAGCUAGAGAUUAAUCAGUCAGGAAUGAUCCUGCGUCCAGUGCCAGCACGAUGGAAGAGACAGAGAAACAGAAGACAUCAGGGCUCCAGAGUCAAGGAGCCUGCAGAGAAAGCUCUGCAAACUCAAGCUGGAGUGGGAUACUUGCUGACUUCUUCAAGCACCCCAGGAAUAGCUCUACUCCCCCAUUUCCACCUUGGCUGAACCAUCUAUAUCCCACCAAUUCCCCCAACAUCCCUCCAUCCGUCCAUCCAUCCACCCAAGGACCUGCUAAGCCAGGAGGUCUCUCCCAUCUACCCCGCAGCCUGGCCUCAGCCCCCAAGGGCUCUCUCUACAUGAAUCCCACCGCACCAGAGAAGACCAAGUCUCCCGUAGACUCCACCCUGACCACCUCCAUGCCUCCAGCCAUUCCCACCCCUAAAAACCCUCCCUGGUCUCUACACCCAGCUGAUGAAUACUUGGCUGAAUGUGACCUGGCCUCCUGAACCCAGGUGAAGCCCACGUCCUCCGUGAGCCCGCCAGCUCACCCUGCCUCUGCACCUUCACUGGAGAGAGCCCGCACUUCACCUCCUCAGGGCAGGCAUGGCUGAUGCCACCCAGUGGAACCUGGUGCAGAGCAGGGCCCAGUGCAGAGCAGGGCUGCCUGCAGAGCAAGGCCCGGGUGCUGGGGCCGAGCACCUCCAAUGCUGGCCGUGGACCCAUCCCUCCCAUUCCAGGUGCUGUCUCCAUCAAGAAUGAGCGAGCUGCUGACAUUUGCA
RNAcentral lists this long non-coding RNA (780 nucleotides) under Pan troglodytes (chimpanzee). RNAcentral's name for it is "long non-coding RNA NONPTRT003118". Lineage: Eukaryota; Metazoa; Chordata; Mammalia; Primates; Hominidae. The record is from RNAcentral.